This 508-nucleotide ribosomal RNA is filed under the name Salmonella enterica subsp. enterica serovar Enteritidis. Its description in RNAcentral is "partial 23S ribosomal RNA". It matches the Rfam family "Bacterial large subunit ribosomal RNA", at positions 43 to 590 of the family's 2925-position model. Lineage: Bacteria; Pseudomonadati; Pseudomonadota; Gammaproteobacteria; Enterobacterales; Enterobacteriaceae. The record is from RNAcentral.
GAGGCGAUGAAGGGCGUGCUAAUCUGCGAUAAGCGCCGGUAAGGUGAUAUGAACCGUUAUAACCGGCGAUACCCGAAUGGGGAAACCCAGUGUGAUUCGUCACACUAUCAUUAACUGAAUCCAUAGGUUAAUGAGGCGAACCGGGGGAACUGAAACAUCUAAGUACCCCGAGGAAAAGAAAUCAACCGAGAUUCCCCCAGUAGCGGCGAGCGAACGGGGAGGAGCCCAGAGCCUGAAUCAGCAUGUGUGUUAGUGGAAGCGUCUGGAAAGGCGCGCGAUACAGGGUGACAGCCCCGUACACAAAAGCGCAUGUGCUGUGAGCUCGAUGAGUAGGGCGGGACACGUGGUAUCCUGUCUGAAUAUGGGGGGACCAUCCUCCAAGGCUAAAUACUCCUGACUGACCGAUAGUGAACCAGUACCGUGAGGGAAAGGCGAAAAGAACCCCGGCGAGGGGAGUGAAAAAGAACCUGAAACCGUGUACGUACAAGCAGUGGGAGCACCCUUUGGG